RNAcentral lists this long non-coding RNA (1712 nucleotides) under Vigna radiata. RNAcentral's name for it is "long non-coding RNA (VRAD_LNC008445)". The record is from RNAcentral. Lineage: Eukaryota; Viridiplantae; Streptophyta; Magnoliopsida; Fabales; Fabaceae.
UAUAUUUUUCUUUUAAAUCAACCAAUAAAACGUCAAUUUAAACUGGAGUAAUUAUUUUAAGUAGACAUCCAUUCAUAAAAUUUCUCCUAAUGACUCCAUUUUUUAAUUAUUUUCUGUGUUUUCUGUUAUCUCCUUCAGCUAGUAGUUAUUCUUUUAUUUUUCUUUCAAAUCAACCCAUAUAACAUCAUUUUAUACUGUUUACGAUGUUUUAUUAUUUAGUUACUUUUUUAUUAUUUUUUCUUUUCCUUUCAAAACAACUAUAUAACGUCAAAUUCAUCUAUGCAUUCGACGUCUAAUGAGUUGUGUUUUAGUAUAGUUUUGCGCGUGUUUUUCGGUAGCCUAGUACCACCUUCUUCCUUUGCUAGUUUCUUCAUAAGAAAAACUUGCGUCUUUUGCAUCUCUAAUGGCAUUUCAACCCAAAACCGAACCUGGGUCGUUGCCUAGACGUCAUGCAAACCGCCAAUGGAAAAGAAUACGGUGACAUGAGAACUAGGCAAGACCCAGGUUCGGUUUUGGUUGAAAUACCAUAAGAGACCAAAAGACGCAAGCUUUUCUUACUAGGAAACUACUAAAGGGAGAAGGUACUAAUACGCUACCAAAAGACACGAGCAAAACUGCACCAAAACACAACGAAAACUCAUUUUAAUCGGUUCAAAUGGAAGAUAAUCCAUCAAAGUCUAAUUUAAUCGGAGUAAAAGUAAGUUUAAGCGAUUCAAAAGAUAUAAUACGCACAUAGAAAUGCAAUGCCACGUAGAAAAAAGGCGAGGAGGAAGACGAUGAAGUGUGCGUAACCAUGGAUUCGCGAUUUCCGAUUUAACAGGAAAAAAAAUAGUAAGAAGAUAAGUGCUUUUUCAAAAUCUAUAGAACCAUGGAACUGCUUUUAUAACUUGAAGUUUCUUGAUUAUAUGAUUCAAUUUUUAAGUUUCAAGAAGUUGUUUUCUACUGAAUUAAUGGAUCUGAUUUCGGAGAGAACAACUUUUUGAAACUUUAAAAAAUGAAUCAAUAAUUAUCAAACUACGGAAUUGUAUAGAGUUAAGCAUCAUAUUUAUAGAGUCAAUUCAAACCUCUGGUAACAACACAAAAUUAAUGCUCACAAGCAGUCCUAACCAAUGACUUUCACGUCGAAGCCCCCUAUAAUAGACGUUCUAUGGGAAUUUAAUAAGUAAAAAGAAAAAAAAAAGAGCGACCAAAACAUCAGAUUCUCAAGAAAUUCGACGUUUAUUGUUGGAUUAUAAGAAAACAAAAUUAAACCAAAAAGACACUUUGGAAGUCUGGAGAAAUAUGUUGGUACCAGCGGGGUAUGGUUCAAAGAGUAUAACGCAGCGGAAUAAAACUAAGAGUAGCGUAUAAGCGUGUUCGGUCACUUUUUAAAAGAAGUUGGUCCUUUUUCGAAAAACAAUUUUCUUUCAGAAAAUUUAUGGAACAAUUGAUAUGCGUAAAACUGUAAAAAGUAUAGGGAAUAGAAAAAUCACACAAGUAAUUUUUAUACUGGUUCGAUUCAAAAGAAUCUACAUCUAGUCGUUAAUCACUAUAAACAGUGAUUAACAGUUCCACCAAAAAGAUGUUUCUCAGAUUAAAUAAACCUUCCUUCGACGAAGGAACCAGAAGAAUGACACUCAGCCAACUCAAAGAGAACCGCUCCGGCAAUCGACCAACGAUUCGCGAGCUUCUCUUAUUCACGAGACCAGGCAGAGCACCUUGCUAACUCGAAG